GACGAACGCUGGCGGCGUGCUUAACACAUGCAAGUCGAACGGUAAGGCCCUUCGGGGUACACGAGUGGCGAACGGGUGAGUAACACGUGGGUGAUCUGCCCUGCACUUCGGGAUAAGCCUGGGAAACUGGGUCUAAUACCGGAUAGGACCACUGCCUGCAUGGGUGGUGGUGGAAAGCUUUUGCGGUGUGGGAUGGGCCCGCGGCCUAUCAGCUUGUUGGUGGGGUGAUGGCCUACCAAGGCGACGACGGGUAGCCGGGCUGAGAGGGUGACCGGCCACACGGGGACUGAGAUACGGCCCAGAGUCCUACGGGAGGCAGCAGUGGGGAAGAUUGCACAAUGGGCGCAAGCCUGAUGCAGCGACGCCGCGUGAGGGAUGACGGCCUUCGGGUUGUAAACCUCUUUCAGCACCGACGAAGCGCAAGUGACGGUAGGUGCAGAAGAAGGACCGGCCAACUACGUGCCAGCCGCCGCCGUAA
Molecule: ribosomal RNA, 478 nt
Filed under: uncultured bacterium
Lineage: Bacteria
Description: partial 16S ribosomal RNA
Rfam family: Bacterial small subunit ribosomal RNA
Source: RNAcentral